RNAcentral lists this ribosomal RNA (220 nucleotides) under uncultured Rhodocyclaceae bacterium. RNAcentral describes it as "partial 16S ribosomal RNA". It matches the Rfam family "Bacterial small subunit ribosomal RNA", at positions 1165 to 1382 of the family's 1533-position model. The record is from RNAcentral. Lineage: Bacteria; Pseudomonadati; Pseudomonadota; Betaproteobacteria; Rhodocyclales; Rhodocyclaceae.
GGAGGAAGGUGGGGAUGACGUCAAGUCCUCAUGGCCCUUAUGGGUAGGGCUUCACACGUCAUACCAAAUGGUCGGUACAGAGGGUUGCCAACCCGCGAGGGGGAGCUAAUCCCACAAAGCCGAUCGUAGUCCGGAUCGCAGUCUGCAACUCGACUGCGUGAAGUCGGAAUCGCUAGUAAUCGUGGAUCAGCAUGUCACGGUGAAUACGUUCCCGGGUCUU